Molecule: long non-coding RNA, 205 nt
Organism: Triticum aestivum (bread wheat)
Lineage: Eukaryota; Viridiplantae; Streptophyta; Magnoliopsida; Poales; Poaceae
Exons: 3
Source: RefSeq, a predicted model, not a curated record
CAAAAGAAUUGAAUGCUGAGAAACUUGGAAUCCGCAUGGGUGAUGUUAUUGAACGCUUCAAUGGAGAGUGUAUUUCUAAUACAACUGAGUUGGAAAAGAUGUUGCUGGAUAUAGGCGGAGACCAUUUUGAUCAAGCAAAAGUCUUAAAGGCCGAAACAGAUGUUCGAAUUCAAAUAUUUCGUGCCACAAAACGUUGCCGAAGAGU